GAUGAGGAUAGGCUCGCGUGACAUUAGCUUGACGGCGGGGUAACGGCCCACCGUGGCGACGAUGUCUAGGGGUUCUGAGAGGAAGGUCCCCCACACUGGAACUGAGACACGGUCCAGACUCCUACGGGAGGCAGCAGUGAGGAAUAUUGGUCAAUGGCCGGAAGGCUGAACCAGCCAUGCCGCGUGAAGGUCAGUGCCCUAUGGGCGUUAAACUUCUUUUGUGCGGGAGCAAUAAGGUCCACGUGUGGACCGACGAGAGUACCGUACGAAUAAGCAUCGGCUAACUCCGUGCCAGCAGCCGCGGUAAUACGGGGGAUGCAAGCGUUAUCCGGAUUUAUUGGGUUUAAAGGGUGCGUAGGCUGUGAGGUAAGUCAGCGGUGAAAUGCCCCCGCUCAACGGGGUGAAGUGCCAUUGAUACUGCCUUGCUGGAAUGCGGAUGCCGUGGGAGGAAUGUGUGGUGUAGCGGUGAAAUGCAUAGAUAUCACACAGAACACCGAUUGCGAAGGCAUCUCACGAAUCCGCUAUUGACGCUGAUGCACGAAAGCGUGGGUAUCAAACAGGAUUAGAUACCCUGGUAGUCCACGCUGUAAACGAUGAUGAC
This 601-nucleotide ribosomal RNA is filed under the name uncultured bacterium. Its description in RNAcentral is "bacterial SSU rRNA". It matches the Rfam family "Bacterial small subunit ribosomal RNA", at positions 218 to 816 of the family's 1533-position model. The record is from RNAcentral.